UAGGGAAUCUUCGGCAAUGGGGCAACCCUGACCGAGCAACGCCGCGUGAGUGAAGAAGGUUUUCGGAUCGUAAAACUCUGUUGUUAGAGAAGAAUGUGUAGGAGAGUAAAAAGUUCUUACAGUGACGGUAUCUAACCAGAAAGGGACGGCUAACUACGUGCCAGAGCCGCGGUAAUCGUAGGUCCCAAGCGUUGUCCGGAUUUAUCGGGCGUAAAGCGAGCGCAGGUGGUUUAAUAAGUCUGAUGUAAAAGGCAGUGGCUCAACCAUUGUAUGCAUUGGAAACUGUUAGACUUGAGUACAGUAGAGGAGAGUGG
RNAcentral lists this ribosomal RNA (314 nucleotides) under uncultured Lactococcus sp. RNAcentral describes it as "bacterial SSU rRNA". It matches the Rfam family "Bacterial small subunit ribosomal RNA", at positions 355 to 664 of the family's 1533-position model. The record is from RNAcentral. Lineage: Bacteria; Bacillati; Bacillota; Bacilli; Lactobacillales; Streptococcaceae.